This 151-nucleotide microRNA precursor is filed under the name Glycine max (soybean). RNAcentral's name for it is "miR5031 stem-loop (gma-MIR5031)". The record is from miRBase by way of RNAcentral. Lineage: Eukaryota; Viridiplantae; Streptophyta; Magnoliopsida; Fabales; Fabaceae.
UGUUUAAUAAAAUCGUGACAUGUAACGAUAAACGUUUAAUAAAAUAGUGAAGGUAGACAAUUAAUGAUUAACAUCUAAUUUCUAGAUUGGGGAUAACAGGAUUAUAAAAAAUUGGGGAUUAAAUUCGUAAAUUAAAAUAAAUAGAGGAUCA